AAUGAACGCUGGCGGCGCGCCUAAUACAUGCAAGUCGAGCGAGAAGACGUAGCAAUACGUUUGUAAAGCGGCGAACGGGUGAGGAAUACAUGGGUAACCUACCCUCGAGUGGGGAAUAACUAGCCGAAAGGUUAGCUAAUACCGCGUACGCUCCUUGGACUUCGGUUCAGGGAGGAAAGCGAUACCGUGGGUAUCGCGCUCUUGGUUGGGCUCAUGUCCUAUCAGCUUGUUGGUGAGGAACGGCUCACCAAGGCUUCGACGGGUAGCUGGUCUGAGAGGACGAUCAGCCACACUGGCACUGCGACACGGGCCAGACUCCUACGGGAGGCAGCAGUGGGGAAUUUGGACAAUGGGGGCAACCCUGAUCCAGCCAUUCCGCGUGAGUGAAGAAGGCC
This 395-nucleotide ribosomal RNA is filed under the name uncultured bacterium. RNAcentral describes it as "bacterial SSU rRNA". It matches the Rfam family "Bacterial small subunit ribosomal RNA", at positions 29 to 416 of the family's 1533-position model. The record is from RNAcentral.